UGUUGCUGCCGCUGCUGCAGGUGAUAACCAGAAGAAUUACUACCUGACACUAGUCAGUCCACUUAUCGACGAUUCCUCGAAGACCUGCCACUGCUGCUGCUUGCUGCAUAUCGUAGCGCGUCGCGCUCAUCCAUUUACGCGUCCCCAUUAGCGAGGCACACCGUCCGUGCAGGACGACAACGAGGAAGCUUCGAUCGAUUCAACCGAUGUCGCCAAGUCGGAAAGCGAUAAUGAUGCCGAAACAGAAGACGUGAAGAUUCCUCCGGAAGAAACGAAGCCCACUGAAACAG
Neodiprion fabricii is the source of this 290-nucleotide long non-coding RNA. RefSeq lists it as uncharacterized. The transcript has 3 exons. NCBI's taxonomy places the organism in Eukaryota, Metazoa, Arthropoda, Insecta, Hymenoptera, Diprionidae. The record is from RefSeq and is a predicted model, not a curated record.